Vanessa atalanta (red admiral) is the source of this 346-nucleotide long non-coding RNA. RefSeq lists it as uncharacterized. The record is from RefSeq and is a predicted model, not a curated record. NCBI's taxonomy places the organism in Eukaryota, Metazoa, Arthropoda, Insecta, Lepidoptera, Nymphalidae. The transcript has 3 exons.
CCAGUCCAGUGCGCGUCGUCGUACUCGAUCUACCUGUUUAUAGUCAUCUAAUGUCCUGAUGUGAUAAAUGAACGAUCCCAUUAAAACACAUCGCGCAGCCAUGAUUACCAAAACUUCAUUAUAAACACGGUGUUUCAAUAGUAGUUUAAGUGAUGACUUCGAGUAAACGUGAAUGAAUUACACGCGGUUAAACAACCGGUUGAAAUAGGGAGGCUGCGUCUGCCCCGCGCCCGGCUGUAGUGGAAUGCGGCAAUUUUAACUACUGCGGACCUCGGGGCCCAUAUAAGCACUGGGAUUGAUCGGCUAUUUCAUACAAAAAUAAGGUAAUCCGAUCCAGAUUGGAAGA